UAUGAACAUUUCUUAUCCCAUGUAUAGAAAAUACCCUUCAAGCACACCAAGACAAAGGGGAAGGUCAAGAGGUUACGUAACUCGCGUAGUGUUUCAAGGCCUCCGAUGAGAAGGAAACUCGAUGCCAGGAAAGAGGAACAGGACUCAGCAGCCAAGGGGACCGUCAUCACCAAGCACAUGAAUAAGGUCUUGAGGCAAAAUCCACGAGCUAAUGUCGUCCUGUCUUCAAAGAAGAAACGAAAGUUAAUGAAAGGCCGAAUGAUAGCAGAUCGGGAGGCUAAUGUCAUGUUAGUUGAAGUAGAGACAAAGCCAAGUAAGAAGCCAUCAAAGAAAACCAAACCCAAGAAGUCUUCUCCAGAUGAUGAAGAUAUGGAGACGAUGGAGACAUGAAGCCCCUUCUGUUUCCGAAAAAAGAGACUGUCUAUAUUUCAAUGCCAAAAAAUGUCUAAGAAGGCCUUCGGAACUAUCAAGAAUCGGAUUUAACCAUGGACCUUGCUGUCGUUGGACCUUUAACAACUUGAUGAGGAUUGGAAUGCAACAGCAUCUCAAGAGUUUAGAAAAAUAUAUGUUUGUCUAAAUUCAGUCAAACCUGUCUGUAAAGGCCAUUCAAGGAAAACAUGGAGAGAGAUCACAGUAAACAUGUGGCCUUUCUAGACAGGUUCUGCGUCACACAUUUCUUUCUCAAGGGAGACAAAUGAAUGGCCAUUAUUGUCAGGUGGCCUUUAUAGACAGGUGGCCACUAGGACAGAUUAAACUGUAUCUUCCUUCAAUUCUCUUGUUAUCAUAUCAACAAUAGAUCAUAUAUUUGUUGGAAAGUUGUACUUUUGAUCUCAAUAAAAAUACCUUUACCUCCAAAGUUCCAAACUCUUCAGGCUGUAGCUCAAGAGCUGAAUAUUUUGGACAUAAAGUUUUUUGUUGAAAUAAAAAAUUUAACUUUCCAAACAUUUCUAUCACUGAUACAGAUGAACUUUCAGGAUAUUCAUAGGUCAAUUUCACACACACAAAAAAAUUAUUCCAGAAUUGGAUUACAUAUCAACGAUUUGAUAAGCAUUAGGAUAGAAACAAAAUUGAAAAAUGAGAGAAAUUAUUUAUUGUUUUCUUAAACAUUUGGUAUUGUCUCUUUAACGUUUUUAGUAAUUCAGAAAAAUAUAUUGUUUACAGUAGUCUUUGUAUUAAGAGAGUAUUGUUGAUAUCAUCCGUUCAGUUUCACAUACAAAGAUUUUUUUUUUUAAGUCAGUCCCUCUGAAGUUUAGUCUAUACCAGUUAGAUAGAUCAAAAACUGCUAGUAAUUCCAUACAGAAUUGAGUUCAACCACCUGUGGUUUGAUGUAACCAAAAAUUGAAUGAUAUGUAAAACGUGUUUUAUAAUCUUUUAUUUAAUUUAAAAGGUAUCUAAUUGACAGAGCAUACUUCUGUAAAAUAAAGAUAGAAAAUUAGACGUCUGAUUUUUAGCUUAUCAUGGUCUUACGUUCGCCUAAAUCGGUGCGGUACAGUUUUUCGACAUACAUAUUGUUUACCAAAAUAAUGAAACAUUUUUGAUUUGUUUUUGUGUCAUUGAUGUGUAAUUGUCCCUUAUCUUAACAACAAGUCUUGUUUUUUUUUCGUUUACCUUUCAACAAGUAUGGUUCUAAUGAAGGUAAUAAUCUCUGUACUUUUUUUCUCACACUCAUGAUUGAUUUUAUCAUAAUAAAGUAUUAAACAUACA
This is a long non-coding RNA of Strongylocentrotus purpuratus (purple sea urchin), 1704 nucleotides long. RefSeq lists it as uncharacterized. The record is from RefSeq and is a predicted model, not a curated record. NCBI's taxonomy places the organism in Eukaryota, Metazoa, Echinodermata, Echinoidea, Camarodonta, Strongylocentrotidae. The transcript has 3 exons.